RNAcentral lists this ribosomal RNA (456 nucleotides) under Discodermia sp. 4 AS-2019. Its description in RNAcentral is "partial 28S ribosomal RNA". The record is from RNAcentral. Lineage: Eukaryota; Metazoa; Porifera; Demospongiae; Tetractinellida; Theonellidae.
UGAAAAGCACUUUGGAAAGAGAGUUAAAAAGGCCGCGAAACCGUUGGGAGGGAAACGCAUGCAGCCGGACUGGCCCGCGUCGAGUUCAGGGGGCCGCCGGUCGCCCCGCUCGUCGUCGACACCCUCGCGGGUCGACGUCUGGGUGGCGGCGUCGGGCUCCCCUGCACUCUCGGCGACUGGGGCCGGCCAAGUGCGGCGGAUUCCGGGCGAAGAGCGCCGUCGGGCAGGUAGCGCAGCCGUCUGUUGGCGGAGGCGAACUUACAGCCGGCGGUGCGGAGCGCUCGGCGUCCGCCGAGGAGAGCGGUGGCAGUUCCACCCGUGCAGCGCAGGUCCGCCUCGGCGGGCCGGGGCGCUCUCGUCCGUUCGGCGACCCGACCGCGUCACUGCACGCAGUGUCCGGCCGAGGUCGUUCCGUCCGGGAGGGAGGCCGUCCCACGCCUUGCGCUUCGGUAGCUU